CACGCGAGCUGGGUUCAGAACGUCGUGAGACAGUUCGGUCCCUAUCUGUUGCGGGCGUAAGAGAUUUGAAGGGAGCUGUCCUUAGUACGAGAGGACCGGGAUGGACGAACCUCUGGUGCACCAGUUGUCCUGCCAAGGGCAUAGCUGGGUAGCUACGUUCGGACGAGAUAAACGCUGAAGGCAUCUAAGCGUGAAACUCCCCCUAAGAUUAGAUCUCUCAUCCAUUAGGAGUAAGGCGCGUCGUAGACUAUGACGUUGAUAGGCCGGAGGUGGAAGCACGGCAACGUGUGCAGCUGACCGGUACUAAUCCGCCGAGGGCUUGACCUU
Molecule: ribosomal RNA, 327 nt
Filed under: Intestinimonas massiliensis (ex Afouda et al. 2020)
Lineage: Bacteria; Bacillati; Bacillota; Clostridia; Eubacteriales
Description: partial 23S ribosomal RNA
Rfam family: Bacterial large subunit ribosomal RNA
Source: RNAcentral